UUAAUGGGACUUCUCUGCUUACUAUUAUGU
This 30-nucleotide non-coding RNA is filed under the name Mus musculus (house mouse). The record is from RNAcentral. Lineage: Eukaryota; Metazoa; Chordata; Mammalia; Rodentia; Muridae.